AAACUUAAAGGAAUUGACGGAAAGGCACCACCAGGCGUGGAGCUUGCGGCUCAAUUUGACUCAACACGGGAAAUCUCACCAGGCCCGGACACUGGAAGGAUUGACAGAUUGAGAGCUCUUUCUCGAUUCGGUGGGUGGUGGUGCAUGGCCGUUCUUAGUUGGUGGAGUGAUUUGUCUGGUUAAUUCCGAUAAAGAACGAGACUCUGUCCUGCUAAAUAGUGUCGGCCUCUCUUUUGGGCCGACAAUUCUUCUUAGAGGGACUGGCAGCUCCUAGCUGCACGAGAUAGAGCAAUAACAGGUCUGUGAUGCCCUUAG
Molecule: ribosomal RNA, 315 nt
Filed under: Crustacea environmental sample
Lineage: Eukaryota; Metazoa; Arthropoda
Description: SSU rRNA
Rfam family: Eukaryotic small subunit ribosomal RNA
Source: RNAcentral